Molecule: ribosomal RNA, 440 nt
Filed under: uncultured bacterium
Lineage: Bacteria
Description: partial 16S ribosomal RNA
Rfam family: Bacterial small subunit ribosomal RNA
Source: RNAcentral
CCUACGGGAGGCAGCAGUGGGGAAUAUUGCACAAUGGGGGCAACCCUGAUGCAGCGACGCCGCGUGAGUGAAGAAGUAAUUCGUUAUGUAAAGCUCUAUCAGCAGGGAAGAAAAUGACGGUAUCUGUGUUAGAUGCCCCGGCUAACGACGUGCCACCAGCGGCGGUAAUAUGCAGGGGGCAAGCGUUAUCCGGAUUUACGGGGUGUAAAGGGAGCGUAGCCGGCAGUGCAAGUCUGGAGUGAAAGGCGGGGGGUCAACCCCGGAACUGCACUGGAAACUGUCAGGCUGGAGUGCCGGAGAGGUAAGCGGAAUGCCUAGGGUAGCGGUGAAAUGCGUAGAUAUAAGGAGGAACACCAGUGGCGAAGGCGGCUUACUGGACUGCAACUGACGUUGAGGCUCGAAAGCGUGGGGAGCAAACAGGAUUAGAUACCCUAGUAGUC